UACAGAGGGGGCAAGCGUUGUUCGGAAUUACUGGGCGUAAAGGGCGCGUAGGCGGCCCGCUAAGUCGAACGUGAAAUCCCCGGGCUUAACCUGGGAACUGCGUCUGAUACUGGACGGCUAGAGUUUGGGAGAGGGAUGCAGAAUUCCAGGUGUAGCGGUGAAAUGCGUAGAUAUCUGGAGGAAGACCGGUGGCGAAGGCGGCAUCCUGGACCAACACUGACACUGAAGCGCGAAAGCUAGGGGAGCAAACGGG
Molecule: ribosomal RNA, 253 nt
Filed under: uncultured bacterium
Lineage: Bacteria
Description: partial 16S ribosomal RNA
Rfam family: Bacterial small subunit ribosomal RNA
Source: RNAcentral